GACGAACGCUGGCGGCGUGCUUAACACAUGCAAGUCGAACGGAAAGGCCCUGCUUGCAGGGUACUCUAGUGGCGAACGGGUGAGUAACACGUGGGUGAUCUGCCCUGCACUUCGGGAUAAGCCUAGGAAACUCGGUCUAAUACCGGAUAGGAGCCAUCUUUAGUGUGAUGGUUGGAAAGUUUUUUCGGUGGGGGAUGAGCUCGCGGCCUAUCAGCUUGUUGGUGGGGUAAGGGCUUACCAAGGCGGCGACGGGGAGCCGGCCUGGGAGGGUGGACGGCCACAUGGGGACUGAGAUACGGCCCAGACUCCUACGGGAGGCAGCAGGGGGGAAUAUUGCACAAUGGGCGGAAGCCUGAUGCAGCAACGCCGGGUGGGGGAUGACGGCCUUCGGGUUGUAAACCGCUUUCGCCGGGGACGAAGCUUUUGGGACGGUAACGUGUAAAGAAGCAACGGGUAAAUACGGG
This 464-nucleotide ribosomal RNA is filed under the name uncultured bacterium. RNAcentral's name for it is "partial 16S ribosomal RNA". It matches the Rfam family "Bacterial small subunit ribosomal RNA", at positions 28 to 507 of the family's 1533-position model. The record is from RNAcentral.